UAAUAAGCGGAGGAAAAGAAACUAACAAGGAUUCCCUCAGUAACGGCGAGUGAAGCGGGAAGAGCUCAAAUUUGAAAUCUCCGAUGCCUGCAUCGGCGAGUUGUAGUUGCGAGAAGCACUUUCUAGGUGGACGGGCAGUGCCUAAGUUGCUUGGAACAGCACGUCGCAGAGGGUGACAACCCCGUCUGUGGCGCUGCCGGGCCGCUGACGAUGUGCUUUCGAAGAGUCGGGUUGUUUGGGAAUGCAGCCCAAAAGGGGUGGUAGACUCCAUCUAAAGCUAAAUACCGGCGUGAGACCGAUAGCGA
RNAcentral lists this ribosomal RNA (305 nucleotides) under Catalaphyllia jardinei. RNAcentral's name for it is "eukaryotic LSU rRNA". It matches the Rfam family "Eukaryotic large subunit ribosomal RNA", at positions 44 to 343 of the family's 3401-position model. The record is from RNAcentral. Lineage: Eukaryota; Metazoa; Cnidaria; Anthozoa; Scleractinia; Caryophylliidae.